UACGGAGGGAGCUAGCGUUGUUCGGAAUUACUGGGCGUAAAGCGCACGUAGGCGGCUUUUUAAGUCAGGGGUGAAAUCCCGGGGCUCAACCCCGGAACUGCCUUUGAAACUGGAAAGCUAGAAUCUUGGAGAGGCGAGUGGAAUUCCGAGUGUAGAGGUGAAAUUCGUAGAUAUUCGGAAGAACACCAGUGGCGAAGGCGACUCGCUGGACAAGUAUUGACGCUGAGGUGCGAAAGCGUGGGGAGCAAAC
This 250-nucleotide ribosomal RNA is filed under the name uncultured bacterium. Its description in RNAcentral is "partial 16S ribosomal RNA". It matches the Rfam family "Bacterial small subunit ribosomal RNA", at positions 524 to 773 of the family's 1533-position model. The record is from RNAcentral.